UUUCCAUCGCUGCAAAUCCCUGCAAACAGCCUCAUUCCCCGGUCAGCUCCCCUCAGUCCACAGCCCUAAAGAGCAAACGUAGCUCCUGUAAAUCUCCGCUCCCCCUCCGACACCCCAUGGGGCGACCUCGGUCGCCUCCAACCUUUUGCUCCUAAAGCCUUUUAUUUAUUUUGCUGAUAAACUGCAACCCCUGCAGGAUCGCUCUGUGGGAACAGCCUGGCCAGGCUGCGAGCCUUGGGGUUUCCGUCCUGUCCCAGCACAUUUUUCUUCCUCCCACCUUCCCCUCACCUCGCUCCACGGUGCCCGGGGCAGGGGCUGUGUCUGGACUUAACUCCGCGACAGCACAGAAAUCCCGAUCAGCCCCCUGAACUGGGCUGCUUUCGUCGUUCGCAGCAGAGAUCCCCAAACUGGCUUUAUCGUGGCAAAGAGGCUGCAGGAAUCUCACCCAGGAACUAGAGGCGAACGAGGCGUCCCGAGCCAGCCCCGGUGCUGCCACCGACUGCAGCCCUGUUAGCAGCACGGGGCGUGCAGGGACACCAACGCUGCAAUUAUUUGCCAUUAUUUGCCCCGCGGUGGCAUUUGGGAGCAGCGUGCAGAUGCGAACUGCAGGUAGGGACCUUCCCCGCCCCAAAACGUUGCCCAUAAAGCAUAAAGCGAGAGGGGAAAAGCGGAGGGACAGAAAUGGGAACGCCGAACCUAAAACCAAGCUGAAGGGAGCCGGUACCCAUCACUGCAGGCUGCUCACCCCGCUGCGGGCAGCCCGGGGUCUGCAGCACUGGGGCUACAGGGAUAUGGGGUCUCCAGACAGUUUGGUCUGUGGAUAAAUUUUAGCUAAAUCCCUGCCCGUCAGCACACCGGGCAGGUGAGAACAAAGGAGUCGGGGGCUGGAUGCUGAAGCUGCUCUCUGAGCCUUUACCCCCUCGUUGCCCCACUGCGAACGCAGCUGGGCAGCUUUUGGUCCAAACUCUCCGUUUUGAGGCCAUUUGUGACCUCCUUGUCGGUGGGAAGCGGCCUUACGCCAGCAGCGUGCUUUCUUCCCGGCACAUUUGGCAGGGGCUGGAUCCGCAGCGUCCCGCGAAACAGCUCCUAGGUGACGGGGACAGCGAUGGCCGGUGGGGCCGCAGUCAGGUGAGGGUGUCCCGCACGUUAUCAGGAGUGUCUCCGGUGUGAGCGUGGUGUUGAGGGCACGCAGCUCAGGGCAGCAGAGGUAGGAGCUCCAGGUGCCGCACAGUGGUGGCCUUCACCUUAGAAAGCACAAGGACAGGCCCUGAGGAGCUUUCCUCCUGUGGGUCAGCUGCUGUCCAUGUCUGUAUCCCCAUCCUCAUCCCAUCAGUAUCCCCAUCCUCAUCCCAUCUGCAUCCCUACCCUUGCCCCAUCUGCAGUCCCAUCCCCAUCUCCCUUCCUGUCCCCAUUCCAUCCCCAUCCCCAUUCCAUCCGCAUCCCCUUCCCACCCCACCCCAUC
RNAcentral lists this long non-coding RNA (1462 nucleotides) under Anser brachyrhynchus (Pink-footed goose). RNAcentral describes it as "lncRNA (ENSABRG00000007402.1)". Lineage: Eukaryota; Metazoa; Chordata; Aves; Anseriformes; Anatidae. The record is from RNAcentral.